AGCGAAUCCCAAAAAGUGCGUCGUAGUCCGGAUUGGAGUCUGCAACUCGACUCCAUGAAGUCGGAAUCGCUAGUAAUCGUGAAUCAGAAUGUCACGGUGAAUACGUUCCCGGGCCUUGUACACACCGCCCGUCACACCAUGGGAGUGGGCUGCAAAAGAAGUAGGUAGUCUAACCUUCGGGAGGACGCUUACCACUUUGUGGUUCAUGACUGGGGUGAAGUCGUAACAAGGUAGCCCUAGGGGAACCUGGGGCUGGAUCACCUCCUUAUACGAAGAUA
This 278-nucleotide ribosomal RNA is filed under the name Vibrio toranzoniae. Its description in RNAcentral is "partial 16S ribosomal RNA". It matches the Rfam family "Bacterial small subunit ribosomal RNA", at positions 1266 to 1533 of the family's 1533-position model. Lineage: Bacteria; Pseudomonadati; Pseudomonadota; Gammaproteobacteria; Vibrionales; Vibrionaceae. The record is from RNAcentral.